RNAcentral lists this ribosomal RNA (1458 nucleotides) under Triticum aestivum (bread wheat). RNAcentral's name for it is "partial small subunit ribosomal RNA". The record is from RNAcentral. Lineage: Eukaryota; Viridiplantae; Streptophyta; Magnoliopsida; Poales; Poaceae.
AUGACGCGUGUUCUAAAGGGCGAGGGUCAGGGAUCAUCGCCCGGCGGAGGGCGCGUCGCGGCCGGUGGAGGGAGAGAGUUUACGACCGGCAGAGGGAGAGAGCUCACGGCCGACGGAGGGUGCCAUCGCGCCAGGAGAUCGAAGACAAAACGGUCGUGGUUGAAACGUCAAUGCUUUGCUGAUGGUGGGAUAAAAUUAGUUGCGGCAUUGGGGUUUCCCAUGGAGGAGACGGAGAACGGACCGCGCCAUGGCUGCCCAGGUCCAGCCGACCUCAUCAGCGCCCUCCCAGACGAUCUGCUCCUCCAGGUCCUGGAGCGCCUCGGCGCCGCCGCGCGCACCAGCGUCCUCUCCCGCCGGUGGCGCGGCCUCUGGACCCGCCUGCCCCACGUCACCAUCGCCCUCCACGACGUCCCGUUCCGCUCGAUCCAGGCGGCGCUCGCCCGCGCCGUCCGUCCCGGGGUGUGCCACUACCGCCUCGACAUCCGCGUCCGCUGGCAAGCCACCCCGCUCCGCACCGCCAGCGUCUCCUCGCUGCUCCUCGCCGCGGCGGCGCUCUCGCCCGUGGAGGUGCUCUUCGUCCUCUCGCCGGACGUCCUGCUCCCACGCCUGGACCGGCUCCCCGUGGAGCAGUUCUACGCUCUUCUCCCGUGGAGCGCGCGGAGCCCCCUUGUGGGGGUGGACCUGCCCCGCUUCCGCCGCGCCACCUCCAUCGACCUGCGCGCGCGCCACCUCCGCCUCUUCGCGCCGCCCUCCGGGUUCCCCUCGCUGGAGAGGCUCGCCCUCACCGGCUGCGACGUCGACCUCGCCGCCUUGAUCCCUCGCUGCCCGCGCAUCCGCGCACUCAGGGUGAACAACAAUGGCGUGUUGCCCAUGGACAGCAUCACCGUCCACUCGCCGUGCUGCGGGAGCUCUCUGUGGAGAGCAGCAACACAUGGACAAGCUGUGUCGAUGUCGAGGCGCCCAAGCAUGCCAGUAAAUUGUCUCUGUGAUGAGCCCAAAGACUGGAGGACACAAACUAUCUCCAUGGCUGAUCUUGAAACCGUGGAAAUUGAAGGUGUCAACGGGGAGGAUCAUGAGUCUGAUUUUCUGAAAAUGAUCUUUACAUGUGCUCCAAUGCUUAAAAGAGUGACUCUGAGGUUGGCAGAUGGUAUCACCCCAUGUGUCGAUUGGUGCACAAAAGUAGACAACAUCUUCAAGGCGUAUCCUUCUGUGAAGUGCAAAGUUGAUCUGGUAAGCAGGGUCAACAUGUCGCAGCCAAAGUUUUGCAUUGACAUGAUUCAUUGUGCUUACAUUUGUGGAUCCAGUGUGGUCAGCAACAAGACCAUCCUCUCCCACGCCCGACCAACUCCUGUCAGAUUUCAGAUUCUUGCUUCAUGGCUUCAAUCCAUACUAUACUACUUUCUGUUAUUCUCCAACUGUAGUGGAGCUACAGGGUCGAAGUGGUGCCCUCUUGUGUAA